RNAcentral lists this ribosomal RNA (1830 nucleotides) under Vesicomya sp. mt-II symbiont. Its description in RNAcentral is "partial 23S ribosomal RNA". The record is from RNAcentral. Lineage: Bacteria; Pseudomonadati; Pseudomonadota; Gammaproteobacteria.
CCCACCAUGCAUUGUCCCCGAUCCAGAUAAUGGACCUAGGUUAGAACCCCAACCAUACCAGGGUGGUAUUUCAAGGGUGGCUCCACUCGAACUAGCGUCCAAGCUUCAAAGCCUCCCACCUAUCCUACACAGGUAGGAUCAGAGUUCAAUGCAAAGCUGUAGUAAAGGUGCACGGGGUCUUUCCGUCUGGCCGCGGGUAUACUGCAUCUUAACAGCAAUUUCAAUUUCACUGAGUCUCGGGUGGAGACAGUGUGGCCCUCGUUACGCCAUUCGUGCAGGUCGGAACUUACCCGACAAGGAAUUUCGCUACCUUAGGACCGUUAUAGUUACGGCCGCCGUUUACUUGGGCUUCGAUCAAAAGCUUCGGACGAAUCCUAACCUCAUCAAUUAACCUUCAAGCACCGGGCAGGCGUCACACCCUAUACGUCCACUUACGUGUUUGCAGAGUGCUGUGUUUUUAAUAAACAGUCGGAGCCACCUGGUAUCUUCAACUCUUACCAGCUCAUUUAGCAAGUAAAAUCACCGGCAAGAGCACACCUUCUCCCGAAGUUACGGUGUCAUUUUGCCUAGUUCCUUCACCCGAGUUCUCUCAAGCGCCUUAGAAUUCUCAUCUCGUCCACCUGUGUCGGUUUGGGGUACGGUUUCAUAUAACCUGAAGCUUAGAGGAUUUUCCUGGAAGCAUGGUAUCACGCACUUCUCCCAAAAGAGGGAUCGUUAUCACGCCUUGAGCUUUAGAACUAAAUCUAAGGUUCCCGGAUUUUCCUAAGAACCUACUCUACACGCUUGAACCUGGACAACCAUCGCCAAGCUACGUUAACCUUCUCCGUCUUCCCAUCGCAGUUAUAUGAAGUAUGGGAAUAUUAACCCAUUUCCCAUCGACUACGCAUUUCUGCCUCGCCUUAGGGGCCGACUAACCCUACGCCGAUUAACGUUGCGUAGGAAACCUUGGACUUCUGGCGAGGGGGUUUUUCACCCCCUUUAUCGUUACUCAUGUCAGCAUUCGCACUUCUGAUACCUCCAGCAAACCUCAUAGUUCACCUUCAACGGCUUACAGAACGCUCUCCUACCAUCGCAAUAAAUUGCGAUCCGUAGCUUCGGUAUGUAGUUUUAGCCCCGUUAAAUCUUCCGCGCAAACCGACUCGACCAGUGAGCUAUUACGCACUCUUUAAAGGAAUGGCUGCUUCUAAGCCAACCUCCUGGCUGUCUGGGCCUUUUCACAUCGUUUCCCACUUAACUACAAUUUUGGGACCUUAGCUGACGGUCUGGGUUGUUUCCCUUUCCACUACGGACGUUAGCACCCGCAGUGUGUCUCCCAUGCUCAUACUUGUCGGUAUUCGGAGUUUGCAAUGGUUUGCUAAGCCUUGACGACCCGCUAGCCAUAACAGCGCUCUACCCCCGACAGUAAUACAUGAGGCUCUACCUAAAUAGAUUUCGGAGAGAACCAGCUAUCUCCGGGUUUGUUUGGCCUUUCACCCCUAUCCACAGCUCAUCCCCUCAUUUUUCAACAUAAGUGGGUUCGCGCCUCCAGUUAGUUUUACCUAACCUUCACACUGGCCAUGGAUAGAUCACCCGGUUUCGGGUCUACUCCCAGCAACUAAACGCCCAUUUAAGACUCGGUUUCCCUACGGCUCCCCUAUUGGUUAACCUUGCUACUGAGAAGUAAGUCGCUGACCCAUUAUACAAAAGGUACGCAGUCACGGAAUAAAUCCGCUCCUACUGCUUGUAUGCAUACGAUUUCAGGUUCUAUUUCACUCCCCUCCCGGGGUUCUUUUCGCCUUUCCCUCACGGUACUUGUUCACUAUCGGUCAUUAGAGAGUAUUUAGCCUUGGA